Molecule: non-coding RNA, 21 nt
Filed under: Caenorhabditis elegans
Lineage: Eukaryota; Metazoa; Nematoda; Chromadorea; Rhabditida; Rhabditidae
Source: RNAcentral
UUCAACAUACGAAUUCUGUGU